GUGCCAGCCGCCGCGGUAAUACGAAGGGUGCAAGCGUUAAUCGGAAUUACUGGGCGUAAAGCGCGCGUAGGCGGUUUGGUCAGUUGGAUGUGAAAGCCCCGGGCUUAACCUGGGAACUGCAUCCAAUACUGCCAGGCUAGAGUACGGGAGAGGGGGGUAGAAUUCCACGUGUAGCGGUGAAAUGCGUAGAGAUGUGGAGGAAUACCGGUGGCGAAGGCGGCCCCCUGGAUCGAUACUGACGCUGAGGUGCGAAAGCGUGGGGAGCAAACAGGAUUAGAAACCCUGGUAGUCC
Molecule: ribosomal RNA, 292 nt
Filed under: uncultured bacterium
Lineage: Bacteria
Description: partial 16S ribosomal RNA
Rfam family: Bacterial small subunit ribosomal RNA
Source: RNAcentral